RNAcentral lists this long non-coding RNA (394 nucleotides) under Elaeis guineensis (African oil palm). Its description in RNAcentral is "long non-coding RNA (EGUI_LNC052692)". Lineage: Eukaryota; Viridiplantae; Streptophyta; Magnoliopsida; Arecales; Arecaceae. The record is from RNAcentral.
CUUGUAAGUCACUGAGGUGAUCUCAGGUCUAAGAGACACUUAUACCUAUAUCCCAUCAGAGACAUUCUCAACAGUAGAAUGCUCUGGAGUUGGUCACGUUCAAUGAUGAUGUACUCUUACAUCUCACCUGUAUGCCAUACCAGUGUCUCCACACUUCUUGGUUAAGAGGACAACCAAUCCAUAUGACCUACAGCGAUCUAUGCUCGAUAGAGGCUGUUGUCCUUAUUAACAGCCUAUCAUUUGAUCGUGAAUAAUUUUAAGGACUAAUCGAUAAAUCCUCUCUUUAUCGAACCUAAAUAGUUCUAAGAACUUCAUCACAACAACGAAGUUCAUUAGAAGAUGAAAACUUGUGAUGAAAAUACUAAAAAUAUAUUUUAUUUAUUAACAAAUUAAU